UCCACGCUGUAAACGAUGAUCACUCGUUGUUGGCGAUACACAGUCAGCGACUAAGCGAAAGUGAUAAGUGAUCCACCUGGGGAGUACGGUCGCAAGAUUGAAACUCAAAGGAAUUGACGGGGGCCCGCACAAGCGGUGGAGCAUGUGGUUUAAUUCGAUGAUACGCGAGGAACCUUACCUGGGCUCAAAUGUAAGUUGACAGAUUCUGAAAGGGAUUCUUCUUCGGACAAUUUACAAGGUGCUGCAUGGUUGUCGUCAGCUCGUGCCGUGAGGUGUCGGGUUAAGUCCCAUAACGAGCGCAACCCCUAUCAUUAGUUGCCAUCAGGUCAAGCUGGGGACUCUAAUGAAACUGCCUACGCAAGUAGUGAGGAAGGCGGGGAUGACGUCAAAUCAGCACGGCCCUUACGUCCAGGGCUACACACGUGCUACAAUGGCCAGUACAAAGGGCAGCUACCUGGUGACAGGAUGCUAAUCUCAAAAGCUGG
RNAcentral lists this ribosomal RNA (485 nucleotides) under uncultured bacterium. RNAcentral describes it as "bacterial SSU rRNA". It matches the Rfam family "Bacterial small subunit ribosomal RNA", at positions 794 to 1285 of the family's 1533-position model. The record is from RNAcentral.